RNAcentral lists this ribosomal RNA (497 nucleotides) under uncultured bacterium. RNAcentral describes it as "partial 16S ribosomal RNA". It matches the Rfam family "Bacterial small subunit ribosomal RNA", at positions 28 to 507 of the family's 1533-position model. The record is from RNAcentral.
GAUGAACGCUGGCGGCGUGCCUAAUACAUGCGAGUCGAGCGAACGGACGAGAAGCUUGCUUUUCGGAUGUUAGCGGCGGACGGGUGAGUAACACGUGGAUAACCUACCUAUAAGACUGGGAUAACUUCGGGAAACCGGAGCUAAUACCGGAUAAUAUUUUGAACCGCAUGGUUCAAAAGUGAAAGACGGUCUUGCUGUCACUUAUAGAUGGAUCCGCGCUGCAUUAGCUAGUUGGUAAGGUAACGGCUUACCAAGGCAACGAUGCAUAGCCGACCUGAGAGGGUGAUCGGCCACACUGGAACUGAGACACGGUCCAGACUCCUACGGGAGGCAGCAGUAGGGAAUCUUCCGCAAUGGGCGAAAGCCUGACGGAGCAACGCCGCGUGAGUGAUGAAGGUCUUCGGAUCGUAAAACUCUGUUAUUAGGGAAGAACAUAUGUGUAAGUAACUGUGCACAUCUUGACGGUACCUAAUCAGAAAGCCACGGCUAACUACGUG